ACAAUGAAAUGUCCAAUGUUCUGUAUACAGAACCCAGUUUUCCACAUAGACCAAGCAAAAUACAAAAUAAUAUGCAAGCAACUGGGAACAAUAAAAAAGAAGAGCAAGUGAAGAAGACCAUAAAGAAAAUACCAUGGUAAGGCCGUGUAAGAUAACUUUCCCACUAAAUUACAAAAACAAUGCAGAGACUUAAAAUUCCAUGUUUGUGUUGUCGGCUAGAUGUUUGUGUUCUCGGCUAGGCACUCAAAUGAGAAAUAAAGUUAGAUGCAUCAAAUUGAAAUGCAAUAGCAUACGCCAUGUGGCAAAUUACAAGCAAUUGAGCGAGUAUCUUCUAGUAUUAGGGAAAAAAAAGGUCUGGGCAAAAAUAAAUAAAUAAAUAA
RNAcentral lists this unclassified non-coding RNA (380 nucleotides) under Hevea brasiliensis (rubber tree). The record is from RNAcentral. Lineage: Eukaryota; Viridiplantae; Streptophyta; Magnoliopsida; Malpighiales; Euphorbiaceae.